RNAcentral lists this transfer RNA (83 nucleotides) under Thermoguttaceae bacterium. RNAcentral's name for it is "tRNA-Lys". The record is from RNAcentral. Lineage: Bacteria; Pseudomonadati; Planctomycetota; Planctomycetia; Pirellulales; Thermoguttaceae.
GGGCCAAGCUCAUGGGUUUGAGCGCCGAGGAUUUUAAUCCGCGGUACGCCUCGGAGGUUCCCGGUUCGAUUCCGGGAGGCCCA